UCGUAACAAGGUCUCCGUAGGUGAACCUGCGGAGGGAUCAUUACACAAUAACCAGGCGGGCUGGACACCCCCCGCUGGGCACUGCUUCACGGCGUGCGCGGCGGGGCCGGCCCUGCUGAAUUAUUCACCCGUGUCUUUUGCGUACUUCUUGUUUCCUGGGUGGGCUCGCCCGCCCUCAGGACCAACCACAAACCUUUUGCAAUAGCAAUCAGCGUCAGUAACAACGUAAUUAAUUACAACUUUCAACAACGGAUCUCUUGGUUCUGGCAUCGAUGAAGAACGCAGCGAAAUGCGAUACGUAGUGUGAAUUGCAGAAUUCAGUGAAUCAUCGAAUCUUUGAACGCACAUUGCGCCCUUUGGUAUUCCAAAGGGCAUGCCUGUUCGAGCGUCAUUUGUACCCUCAAGCUUUGCUUGGUGUUGGGCGUCUUUUGUCUCCAGUUCGCUGGAGACUCGCCUUAAAGUCAUUGGCAGCCGGCCUACUGGUUUCGGAGCGCAGCACAAGUCGCGCUCUUUGCCAGCCAAGGUCAGCGUCCAGCAAGCCUUUUUUUCAACCUUUGACCUCGGAUCAGGUAGGGAUACCCGCUGAACUUAAGCAUAUC
RNAcentral lists this unclassified non-coding RNA (599 nucleotides) under Alternaria ventricosa. Its description in RNAcentral is "sequence contains 18S rRNA gene, ITS1, 5.8S rRNA gene, ITS2, 28S rRNA gene". The stretch from base 238 to 391 matches the Rfam family "5.8S ribosomal RNA". The record is from RNAcentral. Lineage: Eukaryota; Fungi; Ascomycota; Dothideomycetes; Pleosporales; Pleosporaceae.